RNAcentral lists this ribosomal RNA (253 nucleotides) under uncultured bacterium. RNAcentral describes it as "partial 16S ribosomal RNA". It matches the Rfam family "Bacterial small subunit ribosomal RNA", at positions 524 to 776 of the family's 1533-position model. The record is from RNAcentral.
UACGAAGGGGGCUAGCGUUGCUCGGAAUCACUGGGCGUAAAGCGCACGUAGGCGGAUCUUUAAGUCAGGGGUGAAAUCCUGGAGCUCAACUCCAGAACUGCCUUUGAUACUGAGAAGCUUGAGUCCGGGAGAGGUGAGUGGAACUGCGAGUGUAGAGGUGAAAUUCGUAGAUAUUCGCAAGAACACCAGUGGCGAAGGCGGCUCACUGGCCCGGUACUGACGCUGAGGUGCGAAAGCGUGGGGAGCAAACAGG